Molecule: non-coding RNA, 21 nt
Filed under: Arabidopsis thaliana (thale cress)
Lineage: Eukaryota; Viridiplantae; Streptophyta; Magnoliopsida; Brassicales; Brassicaceae
Source: RNAcentral
UCAGAGGGUGUAGAUACUCAA